UACGUAGGGGGCAAGCGUUGUUCGGAAUUACUGGGCGUAAAGGGCGCGUAGGCGGCACGGCAAGUCAGGAGUGAAAGGCCUGGGCUCAACCGAGGAACUGCUUUUGAGACUGCCGAGCUAGAGUGCAGAAGGGGCAACUGGAAUUCCCAGUGUAGCGGUGAAAUGCGUAGAUAUUGGGAAGAACACCUGAGGCGAAGGCGGGUUGCUGGGCCGACACUGACGCUGAUGCGCGAAAGCCAGGGGAGCGAACGGG
This 253-nucleotide ribosomal RNA is filed under the name uncultured bacterium. RNAcentral describes it as "partial 16S ribosomal RNA". It matches the Rfam family "Bacterial small subunit ribosomal RNA", at positions 524 to 776 of the family's 1533-position model. The record is from RNAcentral.